RNAcentral lists this ribosomal RNA (478 nucleotides) under uncultured bacterium. RNAcentral describes it as "partial 16S ribosomal RNA". It matches the Rfam family "Bacterial small subunit ribosomal RNA", at positions 28 to 523 of the family's 1533-position model. The record is from RNAcentral.
GACGAACGCUGGCGGCGUGCUUAACACAUGCAAGUCGAACGGUAAGGCCCUUCGGGGUACACGAGUGGCGAACGGGUGAGUAACACGUGGGUGAUCUGCCCUGCACUUCGGGAUAAGCCUGGGAAACUGGGUCUAAUACCGGAUAGGACCCUGGGAUGCAUGUCCUGGGGUGGAAAGCUUUUGCGGUGUGGGAUGGGCCCGCGGCCUAUCAGCUUGUUGGUGGGGUGAUGGCCUAUCAGGGCGACGGCGGGUAGCCGGCCUGAGAGGGUGACCGGCCACACUGGGACUGAGAUACGGCCCAGACUCCUACGGGAGGCAGCAGUGGGGAAUAUUGCACAAUGGGCGCAAGCCUGAUGCAGCGACGCCGCGUGAGGGAUGACGGCCUUCGGGUUGUAAACCUCUUUCAGCACCGACGAAGCGCAAGUGACGGUAGGUGCAGAAGAAGGACCGGUCAACUACGUGCCAGCCGCCGCCGUAA